UAUGUUAACACAUGCAAGUCGAACGAAAAUUCGUUUUUUCGUGGCGCACGGGUGAGUAAUAGCAGAAUCUUACCUUCCAAUCCAGUAACAAAAUUUACUCAAGUAAAUUAAAAUUCUGAUGAAAUUGAGGUUAAAUCUCGUAAGGUUAAUUCCGUUGGAAGAUAGAUCUGUAAAAGAUUAGGUUGUUGGUAGGUUAAAAGCUUACCAAGCCGAUGAUCUUUAGUUGGUUUUAGAGAAUGAUCAACCACACUGGAACUGAAAUAAGGUCCAGGCUUGAUACCGUCGGCCAGCAGUGGAGAAUAUUGGACAAUGAACGAAAGUUUGAUCCAGCAAUACUACCUGGGUGAUGACGGCUUAUUUAAGUUGUAAGAUCCUUUAAUUAAAGAAGAUAAUGACAUUAUUUAAUUGAAUUUUAGUCCUGGCUAAUACUCGUGCCAGCAGCCGCGGUAAUCGGGAAGGGCAAGCGUUAUUCGGCAUAAUUGGGCGUAAAGAGUCCGUAGAUUGCAAAGUAAGUUUUUUGUUAAAUUUUAAGACUCAAUCUUAAACCUGCAACUAAUACUUGCUUUGCUUGAGUUUAAUACAGAAAAGUAGAAUUUUAUACGAAGGGGUAAAAUCCGUAGAUAUAUAAAGGAAUGUCGACAGCGAAGGCAACUUUUUAGUAUAAACUGACCGUUGAGGGACCGAAAGCCGUGGGUAGCAAAUAGGAUUAGAGACCCUAGUAGUCCACGCCGUAAAUUCUGAAUGCUGUAAUUUAAUUGUAAUAUUUUUUCAUUAUUACUUAGAUUUUCAAGCUAACGCAAUAAGCAUUCCGCCUGAGGAGUACGAUCGCAAGAUUAGAACUCAAAGGAAUUGACGGGGGUUUAAUACUAGUGGUGGAGCAUGUGGUUUAAUGCGAUAAUCCGCGCAAAAUCUUACCAAUUCUUGACAUAUUUAAAUAAUUGUAUAUAUUAAUACGGUUUUCGUUUACAAUAUUUUUUAAACAGGUGUUGCACGACUGUCGUCAGCUCGUGUUGUGAGACGUCUGAUUAAGUUCUGAAACGGGCGUAACUCUUGCUUUUUAUUAAGUUUUUACAGAUUAAGGUUUUCACUGUGUAGGAAAAUCUUUAGACGCUUUAAAAGUACGGUCAAUGAUAAAUUGAAGGAAGGCAAGAAUGAAGUCAAGUCAAUGUGACCCUAAUGAAUUGGGCUACACACGUGCUACAAUGAAAAUUACAAAAAGUGACAAAAAAGAAAUUUUGAGUUAAUCAACAAAAGUUUUCCUAGUUCGGAUUGUAAACUGCAACUCGUUUACAUGAAGCUGGAAUCACUAGUAAUCGCAAAUCAGCACGUUGCGGUGAACAUGUAACUUGACCUUGUACAUACCGCCCGUCACUUGCAAAGAAUCAGUUUCGCUUGAAGGUUUUAAUAAAACCCAUUGA
Molecule: ribosomal RNA, 1418 nt
Filed under: uncultured bacterium
Lineage: Bacteria
Description: bacterial SSU rRNA
Rfam family: Bacterial small subunit ribosomal RNA
Source: RNAcentral